CCUACGGGUGGCAGCAGUGGGGGAUAUUGCACAAUGGGGGGAACCCUGAUGCAGCGACGCCGCGUGGGUGAAGAAGCGUUUCGGCGCGUAAAGCCCUGUCAGCAGGGAAGAAAAUGACGGUACCUGAAGAAGAAGCCCCGGCUAACUACGUGCAAGCAGCCGCGGUAAUACGUGGGGGGCAAGCGUUAUCCGGAUUUAUGGGGUUUAAAGGGGGCGCAGGCGGAAGGUCAAGUCAGCGGUAAAAUUGAGUGGUUCAACCUCGUAGAGCCGUUGAAACUGGUUAUCUUGAGUGAGUGAGAGGUAUGCGGAAUUCGUGGUGUAGCGGUGAAAUGCGUAGAUAUCAGGCAGAACGCCGAUGGCGAAGGCAGCAUACCGGCGGGCAACUGACGCUGAUGCACGAAAGUGUGGGUAGCGAACAGGAUUAGAUACCCGAGUAGUC
RNAcentral lists this ribosomal RNA (439 nucleotides) under uncultured bacterium. Its description in RNAcentral is "partial 16S ribosomal RNA". It matches the Rfam family "Bacterial small subunit ribosomal RNA", at positions 338 to 795 of the family's 1533-position model. The record is from RNAcentral.